AGAGUUUGAUCAUGGCUCAGAACGAACGCUGGCGGCGCGCCUAAUACAUGCAAGUCGAGCGAGAAGACGUAGCAAUACGUUUGUAAAGCGGCGAACGGGUGAGGAAUACAUGGGUAACCUACCCUAGAGUGGGGAAUAACUAGCCGAAAGGUUAGCUAAUACCGCGUACGCUUCUUGGACUUCGGUUCAGGGAGGAAAGGCGAUACCGAGGGUAUCGCGCUCUUGGAUGGGCUCAUGUCCUAUCAGCUUGUUGGUGAGGUAACGGCUCACCAAGGCUUCGACGGGUAGCUGGUCUGAGAGGACGAUCAGCCACACUGGCACUGCGACACGGGCCAGACUCCUACGGGAGGCAGCAGUAAGGAAUAUUGCGCAAUGGGCGAAAGCCUGACGCAGCGACGCCGCGUGGGGGAUGAAGGUCUUCGGAUUGUAAACCCCUUUCGGGAGGGAAGAUGGAAUGGGGUAACCCAUUCGGACGGUACCUCCAGAAGCAGCCACGGCUAACUUCGUGCCAGCAGCCGCGGUAAUACGAAGGUGGCAAGCGUUGUUCGGAUUUACUGGGCGUACAGGGAGCGUAGGCGGUUCGGUAAGCCCUCUGUGAAAUCUCCGGGCUUAACCUGGAACAGUCGGAGGGGACUGCUGGGCUAGAGGACGGGAGAGGAGCGCGGAAUUCCCGGUGUAGCGGUGAAAUGCGUAGAGAUCGGGAGGAAGGCCGGUGGCGAAGGCGGCGCUCUGGAACGUUUCUGACGCUGAGGCUCGAAAGCGUGGGGAGCAAACAGGAUUAGAUACCCUGGUAGUCCACGCCUUAAACUAUGAAUACUAAGUGUCGGCGGUUUACCGCCGGUGCCGCAGCUAACGCAUUAAGUAUUCCGCCUGGGAAGUACGGCCGCAAGGUUGAAACUUAAAGGAAUUGACGG
This 914-nucleotide ribosomal RNA is filed under the name uncultured bacterium. Its description in RNAcentral is "bacterial SSU rRNA". It matches the Rfam family "Bacterial small subunit ribosomal RNA", at positions 8 to 916 of the family's 1533-position model. The record is from RNAcentral.